AUGCAUCGUCGGUUUUUGAAUGUGAUAGUACAGGACUUGAGCACUCGCAUCAAUUCGUUGUACCUCGUCGACCUUUGGAAGCAUCUCUUCUGCCGGUCAACAGGAAAAGCAGAAGCUGCAGAAGAUGCAAAACUGGAGAAGAAAAAUCCAGCAGCGUUGAUAGAUCCCUUGAAGUUGCAUAAGCCGCAACUCAGGUUUGGAUCAUUUCUCCUCUCUGCUCUGUUGACAGAGAACUGCCUCCUGCUGGCAGACUCUACUCACAGUGCAUUUCUCUACGACAACGACUUAAACUCGGUCCAACCCAUUCAAUCUAUGAAUUUUCCCAAAGGACCUAAUUGCGUCUGCUUCUCUGCACCCCAAGCUAACCCCUUAGACUCUCACCGCUACUAUAUACUGGACCUGUCACCGGCCUCCACUAUCAAUUCUCCCUUUAGGGUCCUCAGCUACCGCUCUAAUAGUUUCUCCUCCGAAUCCCAUGUAAAAUCUAACUACACCAAUUCAUUCUACUGGGAUACUCUCCCAGUACCACCAUUUCUAGGCGAUGACUAUGGAAGAACCAUUGACAUUUGUUCCUCCAUGAUGAUCAAUGGCUCGACCAUAUGCAUAUCCUCUGUCGAGAAGGGCGUUGGCACCUACACCUUUGAUAUAGUGACAAAGUUAUGGACUCAGGCUGGCAAUUGGGUGCUGCCCUUCUACGGCAAAGCAGAGUAUGUUCCCGAGCUCAACCUUUCGUUCGCUCUAUCUGCUGACAGCCCCCACCGCUUGUGCGCUUUAACCUGCACUUCAAUGCACCAUGGGGGCCCACCAGCAUUGCAGCAUACUUUUGAUGAGCUCGACCUGCCGGAGAAUUGGUCGCCAUACAAGUGCCACCUGGUUAACCUGGGCUCAGGCAACUUUUGCAUCAUUUCCUUCUGUAAGACCAUGAACUGUGAGUUUGCCGUCUUCACCGGCGUGGAGGUGAAACCCUGCAUCAAUGGCGACGGUCCUCUCCGGAUGAUCAAGCACCUGUCUAAGAGUUUCAGCCUUGGAUCUCAUAGCAUCAAAAGUGUGCUCUGA
This 1056-nucleotide ribosomal RNA is filed under the name Triticum aestivum (bread wheat). RNAcentral's name for it is "partial small subunit ribosomal RNA". The record is from RNAcentral. Lineage: Eukaryota; Viridiplantae; Streptophyta; Magnoliopsida; Poales; Poaceae.